UACGGAAGGGGCUAGCGUUGUUAGGAAUUACUGGGCGUAAAGAGCGCGUAGGCGGCUUACCAAGUUGGGGGUGACAUCCCGGAGCUCAACUCCGGAACUGCCUUCAAAACUGGUAGGCUCGAGUCCGGAAGAUGGGCGUGGAAUUCCCAGUGUAGAGGUGAAAUUCGUAGAUAUUGGGAAGAACACCGGUGGCGAAGGCGGCGCCCUGGUCCGGUACUGACGCUGAGGCGCGAAAGCGUGGGGAGCAAACAGG
Molecule: ribosomal RNA, 253 nt
Filed under: uncultured bacterium
Lineage: Bacteria
Description: partial 16S ribosomal RNA
Rfam family: Bacterial small subunit ribosomal RNA
Source: RNAcentral